AACGAACGCUGGCGGCAGGCCUAACACAUGCAAGUCGAGCGCCCCAGCAAUGGGGAGCAGCAGACGGGUGAGUAACGCGUGGGUAUCUACCUAGUGGUGCGGAAUAGCCCAGGGAAACUUGGAGUAAUACCGCAUAAGCCCGAAAGGGGAAAGAUUUAUCGCCAUUAGAUGAGCCCGCGUUGGAUUAGCUAGUUGGUGGGGUAACGGCCCACCAAGGCGACGAUCCAUAGCUGGUCUGAGAGGAUGAUCAGCCACACUGGGACUGAGACACGGCCCAGACUCCUACGGGAGGCAGCAGUGGGGAAUAUUGGGACAAUGGGCGCAAGCCUGAUCCAGCCAUGCCGCGUGAGUGACGAAGGUCUUCGGAUUGUAAAGCUCUUUUGGCGGGGACGAUAAUGACGGUACCCGCAGAAUAAGCCCCGGCUAACUACGUGCCAGCAGCCGCGGUAAU
RNAcentral lists this ribosomal RNA (451 nucleotides) under uncultured bacterium. RNAcentral's name for it is "bacterial SSU rRNA". It matches the Rfam family "Bacterial small subunit ribosomal RNA", at positions 29 to 524 of the family's 1533-position model. The record is from RNAcentral.